AAAAGCCAGAUUUAGUACAUAGUUGUCGUCUCCAUAACCCUAAAUUUGGAUCUCUCUGACUCUGAAGAUGAAAGAACAUUGAAACGCCUCCGAUUCACAUAAACAGUUCGUCAUUAAUCUUCUCAUUUGGUCUCAUUUAACGCGAUCAUCCACUACCUCUCAUUAAUUUCCCACCACCGCCAUCUUUACCUCCUUCGCAAUCUCUCACCUAUAAAAAGCAUCUCCUGCUCCAUGGUCAUUACAUAUUCAUUACGCUAUUCUUCUCUACCCACAGACACUAAUCUUUUAAACCAUAGUUACCUCCCAGAUAUUGCUUUCCGAUUGGAAGCCCGGAAGUUGUAGUUACACAUUUCAGCUCACGGUUACUGAGUUCAAUUUCUUUUUUUCACCAUAAGUCAUUUAGUGUUUCCUGGAUCUUUGGUCGCAACCAGCCACUACUUGGACUGCAUGGUGGAGACAACCAUCCUGGAGAUGAUAUGGCCUGGAGAAAAUUGUGUUUCAUGCAAGUACUAUUUUAGUGACUUCUCCUCAAUCAACAAGCACCCCUCGAAGAUAAUAAUGAGGUGUCUGGACCUGGAGAUGCUGUGCAUACGACAUGGAAUCCAAGACUGAGAUUAUUGAUGAUCCGCAGCGCUAAAGCACUUUGGAACCCAUCCAAGAAGGCCCAUAAUUCUUAGUUUCCUGAAUGGUUCACUUUACAGGAAUGUAUCUAUCGUUUCCACCUAUGCUUUAUCUUAUUUCGCUCAUUUUAUGUUUUCCAAAUAAGGGUUAGGACUUAGGACACUUCAAUUCUACCAUCCAGUUUUAACAUUAGUCUCUUUUUUUGGUUA
Brassica oleracea var. oleracea is the source of this 830-nucleotide long non-coding RNA. RefSeq lists it as uncharacterized. The transcript has 2 exons. NCBI's taxonomy places the organism in Eukaryota, Viridiplantae, Streptophyta, Magnoliopsida, Brassicales, Brassicaceae. The record is from RefSeq and is a predicted model, not a curated record.